Molecule: microRNA precursor, 64 nt
Filed under: Myotis brandtii (Brandt's bat)
Lineage: Eukaryota; Metazoa; Chordata; Mammalia; Chiroptera; Vespertilionidae
Description: mir-9242 microRNA precursor family
Rfam family: mir-9242 microRNA precursor family
Source: Rfam by way of RNAcentral
GGCCUCCCUCUGUGGGGUGGUCAAUCUGGGGGCUUUGUGAUCGAUCACCCCACAGAGGGAGGCC